Malaclemys terrapin pileata is the source of this 313-nucleotide long non-coding RNA. RefSeq lists it as uncharacterized. Lineage: Eukaryota; Metazoa; Chordata; Testudines; Emydidae. The record is from RefSeq and is a predicted model, not a curated record. The transcript is spliced from 3 exons.
CAAAGGGGCCGUCUCCCGCCGUCUCAGCCUUGAGAAUCUCCUGCAAAGCAGAAUGCUUCUUUAGAAGAGAUCUGGAAAGUGAUGAGCAUGGAUCGCCCUCAAGGCAGGUGCCGCGAUGGAGCAGGGUCACCUGGAGCAAACGCCCUUCUUGGAGCAAGAGCCAGAAGGACAAUCCCUGACAAGUGGAGACGAUACACUAGAAAGGCUGUUGGAGAUGAAUGCUUGAGACAAGCUUUGACUGCAUGAUUCAUUCGCCAGCCAAUCCAUCCUGUCUGAACGACUUCAAUUAUAUCGACUUCCUGUGAAGGCUCAG